Molecule: ribosomal RNA, 882 nt
Filed under: Aerococcus urinae
Lineage: Bacteria; Bacillati; Bacillota; Bacilli; Lactobacillales; Aerococcaceae
Description: bacterial SSU rRNA
Rfam family: Bacterial small subunit ribosomal RNA
Source: RNAcentral
CAUGCAAGUCGAGCGAACCGACGAAGUGCUUGCACUUCUGACGUUAGCGGCGGACGGGUGAGUAACACGUAAGGAACCUACCGAUAAGCGGGGGACAACAUCCGGAAACGGGUGCUAAUACCGCAUAGGAAACACCACCACAUGGUGGUGUUUGGAAAGACGGCUUUGCUGUCACUUAUCGAUGGCCUUGCGGUGCAUUAGCUCGUUGGUGGGGUAACGGCCUACCAAGGCAAUGAUGCAUAGCCGACCUGAGAGGGUAAUCGGCCACAUUGGGACUGAGACACGGCCCAAACUCCUACGGGAGGCAGCAGUAGGGAAUCUUCCGCAAUGGGCGCAAGCCUGACGGAGCAACGCCGCGUGAGUGAAGAAGGUUUUCGGAUCGUAAAGCUCUGUUGUAAGAGAAGAACAAAUUGGAGAGUAACUGCUCCAGUCUUGACGGUAUCUUACCAGAAAGCCACGGCUAACUACGUGCCAGCAGCCGCGGUAAUACGUAGGUGGCAAGCGUUGUCCGGAUUUAUUGGGCGUAAAGGGGGCGCAGGCGGUUUCUUAAGUCUGAUGUGAAAGCCCACGGCUUAACCGUGGAAGUGCAUUGGAAACUGGGGAACUUGAGUACAGAAGAGGAAAGUGGAACUCCAUGUGUAGCGGUGGAAUGCGUAGAUAUAUGGAAGAACACCAGUGGCGAAGGCGACUUUCUGGUCUGUCACUGACGCUGAGGCCCGAAAGCGUGGGUAGCAAACAGGAUUAGAUACCCUGGUAGUCCACGCCGUAAACGAUGAGUGCUAGGUGUUGGAGGGUUUCCACCCUUCAGUGCCGGAGUUAACGCAUUAAGCACUCCGCCUGGGGGAGUACGGCCGCAAGGCUGAAACUCAAAUGAAUUGACGG